GUGCUUACUUCGGCAGCACAAAUACUGAAAUUAAAGCAAGACAGAGAGAAGAUUAGCAUGGCCCCUGCUCAAGGAUGACAUACAAAUUCAUGAAGCAGUUUAUAUUUAA
Gorilla gorilla gorilla (western lowland gorilla) is the source of this 109-nucleotide small nuclear RNA. NCBI's taxonomy places the organism in Eukaryota, Metazoa, Chordata, Mammalia, Primates, Hominidae. The record is from Ensembl.